This 106-nucleotide small nuclear RNA is filed under the name Jaculus jaculus (lesser Egyptian jerboa). Lineage: Eukaryota; Metazoa; Chordata; Mammalia; Rodentia; Dipodidae. The record is from RNAcentral.
GUGCUCGCUUUGGCAGAACAUAUACUAAGUUGGAAUGAUACAGAGAAGAUUAGCCUGGCCCUUGCGCAAGGAUGACAUGCAAAUUCAUGAAUAAAAUAAAUGAAUA